This 231-nucleotide ribosomal RNA is filed under the name Pseudomonadales bacterium. Its description in RNAcentral is "partial 16S ribosomal RNA". It matches the Rfam family "Bacterial small subunit ribosomal RNA", at positions 1 to 216 of the family's 1533-position model. Lineage: Bacteria; Pseudomonadati; Pseudomonadota; Gammaproteobacteria; Pseudomonadales. The record is from RNAcentral.
AAAUUGAAGAGUUUGAUCAUGGCUCAGAUUGAACGUUGGCGGCAGGCCUAAUACAUGCAAGUCGAGCGGUAACAGAUCGCUGUGAUCCCUUCGGGGUGAACUUGAUGCUGACGAGCGGCGGACGGGUGAGUAACGCGUAGGAAUCUACCCAGUAGCGGGGGAUAGCCCGGGGAAACUCGGAUUAAUACCGCAUACGCCCUACGGGGGAAAGGCGGGGAUCUCUUCGGAGAC